Molecule: transfer RNA, 67 nt
Filed under: Plesionika lophotes
Lineage: Eukaryota; Metazoa; Arthropoda; Malacostraca; Decapoda; Pandalidae
Description: tRNA-Thr
Rfam family: tRNA
About the family: Transfer RNA (tRNA) molecules are approximately 80 nucleotides in length. Their secondary structure includes four short double-helical elements and three loops (D, anti-codon, and T loops).
Source: RNAcentral
GCCUUAGUAGUUUAAUUAAAACAUCAGUCUUGUAAACUGAAGAUAGAUAUUAUUAUUCUCUAAAGCA